RNAcentral lists this ribosomal RNA (490 nucleotides) under uncultured bacterium. RNAcentral's name for it is "partial 16S ribosomal RNA". It matches the Rfam family "Bacterial small subunit ribosomal RNA", at positions 28 to 507 of the family's 1533-position model. The record is from RNAcentral.
GAUGAACGCUAGCGAUAGGCUUAACACAUGCAAGUCGAGGGGCAGCAUGGUCUUAGCUUGCUAAGACUGAUGGCGACCGGCGCACGGGUGCGUAACGCGUAUGCAACUUGCCUCACAGAGGGGGAUAACCCGUCGAAAGACGGACUAAUACCGCGUACACUCCAUCUUGGGCAUCCAAGGUAGAGGAAAUGAAAUUCGCUGUGAGAUAGGCAUGCGUCCCAUUAGCUAGUUGGUGAGGUAACGGCUCACCAAGGCGACGAUGGGUAGGGGAACUGAGAGGGUGAACCCCCACACUGGUACUGAGACACGGACCAGACUCCUACGGGAGGCAGCAGUGAGGAAUAUUGGUCAAUGGGCGAGAGCCUGAACCAGCCAAGUCGCGUGAAGGAUGACUGUCUUAUGGAUUGUAAACUUCUUUUAUGCGGGAAUAACAAGAGUCACGUGUGACUCCCUGCAUGUACCGUAUGAAUAAGCAUCGGCUAACUCCGUG